This 1506-nucleotide ribosomal RNA is filed under the name Triticum aestivum (bread wheat). RNAcentral's name for it is "partial small subunit ribosomal RNA". The record is from RNAcentral. Lineage: Eukaryota; Viridiplantae; Streptophyta; Magnoliopsida; Poales; Poaceae.
AUGUGCUCGCGGAAGUCCUCCGCCGCGCUGGAUCGCCGCGUCCCGCCGCGCUGGAUCGCCGCCUCCCGCUGCGUCUGCACGGCCUGGCGCGACGCCAUCGAUGCGCGCGGCCUCCUGCGCGCCGACCUGCUCCCGCUCUCCCUCGCCGGCCUCUUCAUCCACUUCGACGAGCACAAGUAUCCCGAAUUCCUCGCCCGCCCCCCCUCUGCGGCUGGCGCCCCCGCCAUCACCGGCAACCUCAGCUUCCUGCCCUCCACCAGCCCCCAUUGCGGCUAUUUCUGGCAGGAAGACUGCGCUGAUUGGUGGCACUAUAACAUCGAUGAUCACUGCAACGGGCUCCUCUUGCUUCGCAGUAACCGGGUGGUUAACCCUGCCACCCGAUGCUGGAGUGCUUUGCCACCGCGCCCUGCCAAAGAUGCCACAGGUAACGUGUCAUACCGUGGGCAUCUGAUCUAUGAUCCGAUGAUAUCACCGUACUAUGAGGUGUUUAUGACCCCCCGUUUGGAUGACUAUCAUUCUGGAGAUGAGGUAGACCCCUCGAUGGAGGAAUCUGAAUGGCCACCAUCCCCAUGCAAGAUGUAUGUAUUCUCAUCAAAGUCUGGUCGUUGGGAGGAGAAAUAUUUCUUCCGAGAAGGGGGAGCUACAGUGAUUGUCAGUGAAAUGCGAGUGGGUUACGGGCGAUCCAACGGCGUCUAUUAUCGGGGAGCACUUUAUGUACACUGUAGAGCUGAUUUAAUUAUGAGAAUAUCAUUGUCUGAUAAUACGUACAGUGUAAUUAAACCACCUGUCAUUGAUACCAGAGCACACGACCAUCCAUAUGUCGAGAUUGUAAGAUCAAAAAAGGGGGUGUACUUUGUGGCAUUUGAUAUGUACUGGCCUCAGUGUAAGUGUUGGCUUGGAGUUUGGAUCCCCAAUGAAUCAUGUGGUCAGAUGGAGUGGAUGUUGAAGCAUGACAAAGACCUUAAGCAUGCGCUAGCACAUCACCGGUAUUGUGGACGACUUCACUGGAUCUUAGAAGAUAUUAACUACAACCUGUUUUGUUCUUCUAGUUUCCUAGAAGGCAACAAGAAAGCAACCACUGAAGAGAAUUUUGAAUGGAACUCUGACGAUGAUAUUGAAAACAAAGACUUGGUUAAGCCUUGUUGUUUAGAAGACAAUAAGAAAUCAAUAGUUGAAAAUAAAUUGGAUUGGAAGCCCGACAAUCAUAAUGCUCUUAAUGAUGACGCUAUGGUUGAAGAGUGUUACUGGGAUGAAGAGCGUUGUGAUGAUUCAUAUGAUCAAGACAUUGAGAUACUUGGGUUUCACCCAUAUAAAGAGAUUGUCUACUUGAGUGCAUCACAGCAUACAGCACUGGCAUAUAAUUUGAAUGGCUCAAAGAUUGAAGAAUUAGGAAACAGAUACCCAGAAGAGUAUCUAUAUUUCAAAGAGUUGGGUAAUGAGCGGGAGAGGAUCAAAUCUUUUCCAUACACCCCAUGUUGGAUUGAAGAGUUCCCUGGGAACAACUAG